Molecule: long non-coding RNA, 413 nt
Filed under: Salvia miltiorrhiza (redroot sage)
Lineage: Eukaryota; Viridiplantae; Streptophyta; Magnoliopsida; Lamiales; Lamiaceae
Description: long non-coding RNA (SMIL_LNC000193)
Source: RNAcentral
UUUUUUACUACAGCUUUUAAGUGCAGACUUCUGACCUUCGAUUUUUUUUUACUUUGCUAAUUUUUGCCAGUUUGUAAAAGAAAAAAAAAUAGAUUAAAAGAAAAACAAAAAUAAAAUCGAAGUGCAGAUUACAAAUGCAUUGAAAAUCGAAGUUUGUAAAAGUAAGGAAUUCAAUGUAAAAAUCAAUGACAAAUAAGGAAGAAUAAAAAAAAACGCAUGAAUGUUUAAACAAGAAGAAAAAAAAAUCCAAAACCUAUAAAAGGAAAAAUAAGGAAAAUAAAUUACAAAUGCGUAUAAAAAUAAAUCCAAAAAUUAAAAGCAAUCUCAUAAGUAAAAGUAAUCUAAUCUCUUAACCACUACCCUUUUAUUUCAUUCACAUCACUUUUUUUAACUUUCUUAGUCUCUGUGCUCAC